GUCUACGGCCGUGCCACCCUGAAUGAGCCGGAUCCUGUCUGAUCUCAGAAGCUAAGCAGGGUUGGCCCUGGUUAGUACUUGGAUGGGAGACCACCUAGGAAGACCAGGUGCCGUAGGCA
RNAcentral lists this ribosomal RNA (119 nucleotides) under Pteropus alecto (black flying fox). The record is from RNAcentral. Lineage: Eukaryota; Metazoa; Chordata; Mammalia; Chiroptera; Pteropodidae.